GGGACGGCAGUGCGGCGCGGACCGGAGGAGCCAUCUUGUCUCGUCGCCGGGGAGUCAGGCCCCUAACUCGAAGAAGCCCUGGCGCGCCCUCCCCCCCUCCCCGGUCUGGUAGGGCGAAGGAGCGGGCGCGCGGUCGAUCGAGCGAUCGGUUGGCGGCUCUUUCUCCUGCUCUGGCAUCCAGCUCUUGGGGCGCAGGCCCGGCCGCCGCGGCGCGCGCCCGGUGGCCGUUGGCGUUCGCGCCGCGUCUUUCUUCUCGUACGCAGAACUCGGGCGGCGGCCUAUGCGUUUGCUAUCCGACGAGGAGUCGUCCGGGUGGUCGGCGGCGGCGGGCAGUUGCUCCGCCCCGCUCCUGGGGAGGCGGCGGCGGCGGCGGCGGCGGCGGCGGGAUUUGGCACGGCCGGGGAAGCUGGGGUGGCCGGGGCCGGCCUGGAGGCCUGGCACCACCCUUCGGGGCCUGCAAGGACCCAAUUGGGGGGACAGGAGGGAGCCGGGGGAUGGUUGGUGGUGGGCUUUCUACUUUGUCUUUUCCUCCUUAUGCCGCCUUAGUGAGGGGCGGGAGCGCUGGAGGCCGCUCCGGGGUGGAGAGACAAGCUCCGGAGUCGGAAGAGCUGGGUUUGCUUCCGGGCCUAACCACCAGCUGGCCGAGUGACCUUAGGCAAGUCACUCUGUAAUUUGUCUGCGCCUCAGUUUCCUCCUUCUCCAUCAAUGUUUGUGGGAUUGAAAGCGCUUUGUAAACUGUAAAGCGUCGCUGUAUGUAAGGGAUGAUUAUUGUUCGUAAUGGCUUGGUUUUUUGUUUUUUGUUUUUUUUUUUGGAGUUGUAAGAAAACUUAGAAAUUGCCCAAUCCUUGGAUUUUGAACCUGGAAACCUUGGAUUGGAGGUGGAGAUCCCCAAACUCCUUGAAAUUGUAUGCAGAAAUUAGGGGGAAUGUGCAUUUUAGAGAAUGAGAAGCCAUCGCCAGCAAGUUUUCAUUGGGGGCUGUGACCCAGAAGAAUUAAGAACCACAUUUCCUUUGUCACAAGGAGGAAACUGAGGCCAGAUGUCAUUUGGGACCCUUCACAACCAAUUCGAAGCCCCUGUUUGAAUCCCUGAGAUAUGUGAGCUGUUCUGUGCAUAGUGGAUAUUCGUGGUAACAACACUCCACUUCUUGGCUUCUAUUUUGAGUUCUUUCACCAUGGGUUGCCUAAAGGGUGACUGAUGCUUAAAGGUACAGUGGCACCCAGCAUAAAGCAGCUAAAACUGGGCAUGGAUAUGUUCUCUAGUAUCAAGAAGCUUAUUUAAUCUUUGGCCCAACAACUUUUUUUUUUCUGGUGCCUGACUACCUUUCUGACUCUUCAUUGACCAUUUUCUAUGACCAUGGUUGCCAUCCGUUACUUUCCCCUAUUUUAUAUUCCUAGUCUGUGUGGUUGGUAGUGAGCAGGCUUGUUUUUAAAUGGUGCUGCCAAGUCCAACUAAUUAAUGGUGCAGGUGGAUUUUUAGCAAGCUGGCUCACUAGAACAGACUGAACCAGGCAUGGAAUUCUUGAAAAUGUUUGGGGGGUUGAGUCUUUAUUAAUUGAAGGUUAACGUUUUCUGAGAAGUUUUGUUAGAAUUUUCUGCUGAACCUCAAAAUCAGAUUGAAAGUGUUUCAACCUUAAAUUUUUUCUGGUCUGCUUUGUAUUCUAUUUGCUUGCAAGUGUGUUACUAAGAUGGCCAAAAUGCCAGUUUUUGCUUCUUUGUUAAUUGUCAGCUGCUUUUAUCAAAUAUCAGGCAGUUAUCCAGCAAACACUAUAGAAAUGUUUGAACAGUUGGCUUUCAAACAUUUUCAUUUUGUGGAGUGGUGCUUACCAUUGGUACAGCUCUAAGCAAGCAAACGCAAACACUUUUAAGUGUAUUUUGUCUGUUAGGUGUUAGCCGGUUCUGCUAUUUCAUACAAAUGUCUGGAAAUCAAUUGACUAUUCCCUUUACCUAGAGGGCAGAGACAAAUGAUCUCAAUUCCAGAGAAAUGACUGUUUUGGAGAAAACUGUGUUGGUCUUUUAGCUCUUUUGUAAUUAAAUCUGGAUGUACCUCAAAAGAAUCUUAAGACUGGUGAUAAAAUGCUUUCCUCAGGAGAAAGGAGGAAAAAAACCAACUGGAACUCAAAGCUUGAAAUUCUUUGACAAACAUAAGAUAUCCAGGAUGGGAAGUUGAAAGGGUUUCACUACAUAGCGUUCUGCACUAGCUGGAGCAGAUGUCUUUCAGUGUGGUUAUGGCGUGGACUUCAGAUUUUCAAGAACUGGAUCUGGGACCUGGAAGAAUUAUCAAGAUGUGACACGAAGUUGGGAGCUGGAUUUUUUUAUUUUUGAAUUUAUGGACUCUUGUCCUUGCUUUGAGAAAAGACAAUGACUGAGCAAGCACUGCCACCAGCGCUGUUACUGGGAAUUCGGAGACCUGAGUUUUUGCCAGAUCCUCGGUGCAAACUCUGGCGACGCUCCAUCCAAAGUGAAAAACGUCUUGUGCCUCCUGGUUGCCGAGUAUUCACCUGGACCUUCUAACCACCUUCCUUGAGCUAUUCCAUCAGCCUUCAUAUCUGAUACCUGGAAUUUUGCCCAUGGUGAUUCCUGCCACCUUACUACUGAAGAAGACAACCAUGCCAGUGAACCACUGUGACUCGAGGCAUCCAGCAAAUUUGAAUCAUCAUCAUGUGGCCUUCACCUCCACUCCUGUCCUGUUCUACCCAGAUUCAACACAGCCCUUUGUAGUGAAGUCAAACUCCUCAAGCCAAAUAGCUGAAGCUGUUUUAUCACAAUUAAGGCUCAGUUUGUUCCAUGAGUGUGCUUUCGUUUCUUCAGUUAAAGCCUUCAGAGACACAUAAUAAAUUUGGACCAGGGGAUUUUAGUUAUCAACACUGUCUGAAGAAUGGCACCAUCUUUUUGAGAACCACAUUGAACCCCGCCCCAAAAUCUCAAAUGAUUGAAGUUCAUGAAGUAUCUAAGAUCCCAUCCAAGUCACUGAACUCUGUUUUUCCAUUUCAAAUCUGUAGUAUCCUACUGAAUAAGCAAGCAGAUAUUCUGACCGUUUGGGAUUAAAACAAAGGCACAGUGAACUCAGAGCAUCCUUGGGAUUACUCAGGAACCAGAACUUUUCACACAAAUGUAAGAAAUUCUACCAAGAUAUCCCUUUACCUAACAGCAUCUCACAAAGCUCCAAUCAGAUUCCAGAAAAGGCCUCUUGAUACAUCCAGGUAGAACCUAUAUGGUAAUCCCUUAUGUUUAUAUAGCACUUUACAGUUUCAAAAGCACUUUUACAUGCAUUAAUCUCAAUUAUCAAAUAACACAGUUAUAAUCCUGUUUUGCAAAUGAGGAAAUGGAAAUUUAAAAGGUUGUCCAAGGUUAAACAGAUACAAAAUAGUAGAAGCCAGGCCUUCUGACUCCCAGUCCAGUUCUCUCCUUGGAAUUAACUUAGCCUCUAUUUUACCCACAGUGUUAAAAUAAAUGGAGAUUGAGAACCUCAGAAAAGUUUCCAACUUCCUGAUCUGGUACCCCCAGUCAGUCAGGAUAAUCUUGUGCUGGCUGUAGCUAGACCAGAAUUCUAUGGCAACAUCUCUGAAGUUUAGCAAUAGACUGUCUCCAUGAUGGUAGAUUGUCCAGUCAGUAAGGCAAAUGUUCAUCUGACAAUAAGAUUACCCAGCAUGAAAUAAAGCAACUUUUAAAUCUUUCUUCAUCUUCAUAGUCUUCCCAAAAAUGGCCUAAUUAAUUGGGGAUCCCUAUUCAUAUCAUGUCUUUUUUUUUUUUUUUAAGUCUUAUUAAUAUUCCUGAACAGCAAGGUCUUACCUAUGAUCCGCUAUCCCCAAACUAUUAUUUACAUAAUAUGAGCCAUCAAUUUUUUUAGAACAGUACUGUUCAUAUAUAUAUGUGUGUGUGUAUUUAUGUAUAUAUUUGAUAUACACAUAUAAUAUAUAUCAUAGAGCUUCUGUAGUCCAAUAGGUGGUAAAAUGUGUACCCUUCCCUGAUACAUAAUGCAGUGUAGUGUAUUAAAGGAUUUCAGAAGGUUUGCAGUAAAGAGCCUCAUUUAGCUGUUUAGUCCAGUUGUCCCAAGUUUAAUGAAACACAGAAUGUUACUUUUGCAGCAUUGUUUUUAAUGGAAUGGGAAAACUGCUUUGGAGCAGUAAAACCAGUGCUUGCUGAUUGGCAGCAAAUUGCCCUGGAGACCCAGAAAUAAACAGCAUCUUUGAACCCACCCUUUUUCUUACCUUGUCAGUAACUUCUUGAAUUAGUGUGUCUCCAUCAUCUGAGAGCCCCACAUCUUGACAGUUGUGUUCAUUUUCUAUCAAAGGAACCUCUAGGAGGUUUGUGUCGAUGCAUGGGAAGGGAAUGGGGGGAGUUAAUUCUGCCACGAAAUUAUAUGAAUUCCAUGGCUUUUAGCAGUAUACAUCUCUGUCUCCAGAAUUGUGUUAUAAACCUAGUUCAAGGGCAUUGCAUCUCAGGUGGGUGAGGAGACUGGGAAGGGAGGAGGAAAAGGAUAGAGAAAAGGGGAAGAAGGGGUGAAAAGAUAUUGCUUAGGAUUUGAGUUUUGGCCCACUGAGAUCUUACUAGUCUUUGAAGAGAAGUCAUCCAGCUCAGGACUUCUUGGAAUAAUAUUUACAAAGAAAUGAAUGCAUUUUGUGGCUAUAUGCUGACUGCAAAAACCCCAGUAUUAUUGUCACUUAAAACCAAUAGCCUCACUUACAAGCCCAGUUUCAGGCAAUCCGAAUUUGUAGCAGACUUGAAUGUUAACUUCAUCAUUCUAUAAUGUGGCGUACGUUAGGGGAAGAAUAAAUAGGAAAACACUUUCUAGGCUUACCACUUGGCUUUGCUUAUACAGUUUCUGGUUUCUGUGACCUAUUUUUUGUAUUUCAGCAUUUUGUGAACAGCUUAUUCUUAGAUCAUUGGUUUUCCAAAGGCUUUGUGGCCAUGAAGCCCUUUGAAUGAAUGCUAUACGGAAGACCAGAGUUAAAGUGAAGCUGCUCUGGAAGAAGCAGAAGUGGGGGGCCUGAAACCUGCCACAAGCAUCUUACUUUACCACCAUGGUGACACCUCAGGAGACUUCUUUACAGCACCUAGAAUUCUUCAGAACACAGUUUGAAAACCACUGCCCUAGACGACAUUGUGUUCAACUUGAAAGGCAUUCUGUUCUGUACCUCUACCCAACACCAUCCAUGUUCAGUUGAUGUUCAACAUCAUUAAGAAUACUUAACUGUGGGUAAACUCAGAAAAGUACAAGAAGAUGGGCAUAUCUUUGCCCAUCUGCCCUUUGCCCCUAGAUGGACUUCCAGUGAUUCCUAGAAUUGGAUAUAGCUAGAGAGCAAUUCAUACAUACUCUACACUGAUAAACCCCUUUACCCAGUUUCUUUUUAUAAACACCAGAUACUCUAGUGGUACUUGAAAUACAUGACCUCGAAGUCUUAAUCCUCCUUGGAUACAUGAAUGACGUGGUAUUGAAGUUGAUGCCUCAUUGAGGUCAUAUUCAACCAACUAUACAUUGGACCUCCUGUCAUCAGCCAUGGUACUCUACUUUGUGUGCAAGGGAUAACCAUUAACUGUGAAAGUAGAAUUCAAAUAUUGGCAAUGUUACCUAAAAGGGUACAUGGUUUUAUUCACCUUCUCAAACUAUAAGUUACUGUCACUCAACCAGUGGCAGUUACACUGCUCCUUGGUUUUUAAUUCAGUUUGAUUGCUGUUUCCAGGAUUUAAUGAGCUAAUAAUCCUUAAGAAAAAUUGCUAAAACAAUUCCUCCAUCACUGGCAUAUCUGCCUAUUCUGCUCUAAAAUUACAAUACUCAGCUCAACUACAUGUAACACCUGAUCCACAGGAGACAAUAUCUGAACAUACUUUCUUGUGAUUUAAAAUGUGGCCAUUUGCAAAACUUUCUUCCAAACAACGGGAGAUUUUAAGAUGGGUCUUUUAAUGUUUCUUCCAAACAACUGUAGAUGUUAAGGAUAUUUGGAGGUAGGCCUUUUGACCAGGCCACAGUAGCUUACUCGGAGGGCAUGUCAGAUUGCAUGUCAUCUACCUUUUUGCUGGAAAUGUAGACCAACUUGAAAGAAAAUCUGCAAAGCCUGUGGCUACAGAUUUUAUGAGUAGACUCAAGAGCUUCCUGAUGCUUCUUAAUGUCACAAGACCACAGUCCCUUAUCCUUAUGGAUAUUUCCAUGGAAUUUCAUCUGUCUCAAUACUGUUUUACACUGAAUCAGAGUGGCUGACUUCAUUCCUCGUCUUGAGAUACUCUUGGGCAUUAAGACAACCCAUAUGUCUCUGCAGGAGGGAUUCAAUUAAUGAACUCCCAGACCAGAUCAUGUAGAACAAGUAGACUUCACUUUGUGUCAUGAGAAAAAAAAAAAUCUCAUUUCUUUACUUCAGAGUCAACUUAAGGGCCAGCUGUCCUCAACUACUUUAAUGAAUGCACUGGUUAAAUGUUGGGAAUGGUUUCUUUAUAUCUUUGUCUCAUCCUCUGUACUAACUGACUCAGUCUUCAAAUCAUCAAACAGGGCCUAAGUCUGAUUACUCUGUACUGCUCAACCCUCAACAAAUUAAAAUCUGAUGACCAGCCUGCUUGUAUAUGCAACUAUUAUUUGUAAAGAAGAAGCUUAUCUGCAGACUCAUUGUUUUCUACCUUGAAAAUGUCAGCUUGACUUUCCUUUUCUCCUGUACUUGACAGAAAAAGACAUUGAUCUACACUGCAAGUCAUUCCUUUCAAUCCUGUCAAAAUGAGGGACCUAAAAUGAAAAUGAUCAUCUAUUCAAGAGUCUGAUGUACACUGUGUAUAGGAAUUGAUGAUUCAAAAAGCCUAAAACUCAAACCUUUUAUCUUCAUGCCUCAAAUCUCAUCUAAAUCUUUUAGCAGUACCAUUCAACCAGUCUGAGGCCUUGAUGUCCUUGUAAGACGAUUCUCAAGAGAUGUGCUGAGUUCCAGAAGAUGGAGACUUGAUUACCAAAGAAAGUAGGGCCAACCUUGAUGAACCUGGCUCUCCCAACCCUGUCACUCCCAGAUGUAGCAUAGACUCCUAAACAGAACCCUCAAGUCUGUAUCGAGGAUAUAACCCUCUGAGCUGAAAGAUCUUGGGCAGAUGAGCAGGAAAAUGAAAGUUGCUGUACCUGACUGGCCCAGUAUGAUCAGAAAAUUGUAUCCAGAGUAAACCCUAUGGAUUAAUAACCCUGGAGUACUCAGGGUAAAAACUAAUUUACAGAGCUUUGAUAUUAAACUGCCUGUUCUUCCAGAUCAUAGCCUGGCUAUUGAUAUGGCUGGCCCUGCUUGCCUCUUUACCUAACUCAGCCCUUGCCUGCCUUUUUGACUGCAGUCCAACUGGCUGUGCUUGAUAAAACUACAGCUGAUCUCAACCUAUCUUAUACCCAGUUCCACCAAGGAGUUUUGAACAGAAGCACCCUGCACCCCACCAUGACUUAGUGUUCACUGCAGGAAGGAGCAUGCUUUUUUUUUUUUUUUUUUAAUUUUAUCUUUUUUAAUACUUGGGACCCUUUCUACUAGGCCUGGAGGAGUACAGCAGAUUGAAAGCAUUGCCCAUUCUCUCUUCUACAGUAAUACAGAGAUGAAGCUGAUUCACCAGGACUCACAGAAAUGUACCGAUUCAACUUGGCAAAAGACAUGAACACAAGAAACUUUUCCACUAAACUUAAAAUUCGCCACUGACUUGAAUAGCCUCAUAGAACUAUUUGCCAGUAGAAGGCUGGUUGUCCUGCUUCAUGUCAGCAAGACAGCUGGACUCUCACACAUGACCACUGAGUUUGCUUACAUCGAAACUGUUGUAUCAUUCAAAGUAUCUACUGGACAUGAUUAUUCCAUUCAAAUGGAUUACAAGCUUCGAGUAGAAGACAGACUUACUCCUCAUGAUUUUUUCCAGAAUGCUCCUAUUGUCAAGGAAGUCUACACCAGCUGUUAACCAUUCAACUCUAUGAGCAGAGAUUAAAUUUUUUCAAUAUCUGUUCUUAUCGUUGACAUCAGUUGUUUUUGAUUGACCAACACCUAUUCCAUCUCUUUAUAAAUAAAAACAACUCCCUGAUGCUUCUUGGAACCACCUCUCUCUUUUUCAAUUCAUGUGGUUCAGUCUGACCUAACCUUAGGUUUCAUGGGUGGACAUGUAAUUCAAACCUGAUCAGUCAGCAAAAUCCAUCUCCUUGACCAUAGUGAUUGGUUCAGGAAUGAUCAUGUGAUUCAAGUUGGUCCAGUGAUUACUUAAUCCUGAGAGUUUUAGUGAACUGUGUAGGAGAAGCUCAGAGGCUGUUUACUGAGGUUGCUUAGCUCUGUAGGAUGAAAAGCUCAAACCAACAGGGCCUACCAUAUCAAAUAAGCCAGUCAGAGAAUGAAGCCAGUGCAGAGGAAGGCGGAGCCAAAUGAUGGAGAGACUUAAGUUCUGAUGAUAAUUUUUUGUGCCCCUGGAUCCAACCGUGCCUGAAGCUAGAAUAUCCCCUGGACUUUUCAGUUAUGUAAACCAAUAAAGACCCUUUUUUGCUUAAGUUACUUUGAGUUUGGUUUCUAUUACUUGAAAUUGAGUCUGAAUAUGCUAUCUACCAAUAUGGAAGUUUGACAGAUCCAAGUAUUAAUUAAACUAGAGGUCAAGGCCACACUGAAAUUAUUUUUCAAUCUAGAAGAUAAAAAAAACAGGAACUGACAAUGUUUUAUGUUUACAGAGCAUAAAAAUUAAUUACAUGGUAGAAAAAAUACAGAAGAAAACCUAAAUGUUUAUCAGUGAAGAAUUGGUUAUGUACCACAUGGCUUAGCCAUAUAAGAAAAUCGACGUGUCUGUUAAAAUGAAUAAAGUACAUUUAUUGUGUAUGGGCAUGGAAAAAUGGCCAUAAUAUAUUAAGUGAAACAAACUUGCUAGAAAAAUUUGUAGUAUGAACUCAUUUAAGAAUUUGUGUGUUUAUGUUCAUAAUGCAUAGAAAAGUCUAUAAAUGGCCUUUUUGUGAACAGUGUAGAUUACAUGGAACUUUCAACUUUAUACAUUUCUGUAUUUGAAUAUUUUACACUACUCACAUUACUUUUAAACUUUAUUUAAAAAUAAAGAAUUUUUAAAAUUAA
Molecule: long non-coding RNA, 9029 nt
Filed under: Sus scrofa (pig)
Lineage: Eukaryota; Metazoa; Chordata; Mammalia; Artiodactyla; Suidae
Description: lncRNA (ENSSSCG00035010246.1)
Rfam family: Taurine upregulated gene 1 conserved region 3 (bases 2471-2715)
Source: RNAcentral